GUGGGGAAUAUUGGACAAUGGGCGAAAGCCUGAUCCAGCCAUGCCGCGUGUGUGAAGUAGGUCUUCGGAUUGUAAAGCACUUUAAGUUGGGAGGAAGGGCAGUAAGUUAAUACCUUGCUGUUUUGACGUUACCAACAGAAUAAGCACCGGCUAACUUCGUGCCAGCAGCCGCGGUAAUACGAAGGGUGCAAGCGUUAAUCGGAAUUACUGGGCGUAAAGCGCGCGUAGGUGGUUCAGCAAGUUGGAGGUGAAAUCCCCGGGCUCAACCUGGGAACUGACUCCAAAACUACUGAGCUGGAGUACGGUAGAGGGUAGUGGAAUUUCCUGUGUAGCGGGGAAAUGCGUAGAUAUAGGAAGGAACACCAGUGGCGAAGGCGACUACCUGGACUGAUACUGACACUGAGGUGCGAAAGCGUGGGGAGCAAACAGGAUUAGAAACCCCAGUAGUCC
Molecule: ribosomal RNA, 450 nt
Filed under: uncultured bacterium
Lineage: Bacteria
Description: partial 16S ribosomal RNA
Rfam family: Bacterial small subunit ribosomal RNA
Source: RNAcentral